Molecule: ribosomal RNA, 253 nt
Filed under: uncultured bacterium
Lineage: Bacteria
Description: partial 16S ribosomal RNA
Rfam family: Bacterial small subunit ribosomal RNA
Source: RNAcentral
GACGGAGGGUGCAAGCGUUGCUCGGAAUCACUGGGCGUAAAGGGUGCGUAGGCGGCUGUGCAAGUCUGGCGUGAAAGCCCCGGGCUCAGCCCGGGAAGUGCGCUCGAAACUGCACGGCUCGAGUGCCGGAGGGGAGAGUGGAAUUCCUGGUGUAGCGGUGAAAUGCGCAGAGAUCGGGAGGAACACCCGUAGCGAAGGCGGCCCUCUGGGCCGGUACUGACACUGAGGAGCGAAAGCGUGGGUAGCAAACAGG